CUUACGGGAGACAGCAGUGGGGAAUAUUGGGCAAUGGAGGCAACUCUGACCCAGCAACGCCGCGUGAAUGAUGAAGGUCUUCGGAUUGUAAAGUUCUUUUCUAAGGGAAGAAGAAAGUGACGGUACCUUAGGAAUAAGCCUCGGCUAACUACGUUCCAGCAGCCGCGGUAAUACGUAGGAGGCAAGCGUUAUCCGGAAUGACUGGGCGUAAAGGGUGCGUAGGUGGUUUGACAAGUUAGUAGCGCAACUCCGGAGCUCAACUUCGGAACUACUACUAAAACUGUUGGACUUGAGUGCAGGAGGGGCAAUCGGAAUUCCUAGUGUAGCGGUGGAAUGCGUAGAUAUUAGGAGGAACACCGAUUGCGAAGGCAGCUUACCAAGCUACUUCUGACGUUGAGGCACGAAAGCGUGGGGAGCAAACAGGAUUAGAUACCCGAGUAGUC
Molecule: ribosomal RNA, 443 nt
Filed under: uncultured bacterium
Lineage: Bacteria
Description: partial 16S ribosomal RNA
Rfam family: Bacterial small subunit ribosomal RNA
Source: RNAcentral